This is a long non-coding RNA of Pimephales promelas (fathead minnow), 310 nucleotides long. RefSeq lists it as uncharacterized. NCBI's taxonomy places the organism in Eukaryota, Metazoa, Chordata, Actinopteri, Cypriniformes, Leuciscidae. The record is from RefSeq and is a predicted model, not a curated record.
GGGAGUUUGAAUGUGUGUGGGCUGGUCUUUCCACACACGUCGCUUCUCAAAGCGUCCUCGGACAGAGCCAGAAACGAUAAGCUCGCGACGCGGACAGAGAAGCCACGCUCACUUUUGAUGCUUCCAAGGGUGCCUGUCCUCUGACCUACAGCUUUUCAAGAUCUGCUCUGCAAGGACGUCUUCAACCCCCGUCAUCCUGGUGGAUUAGAGCAGGUCACCCCAGACAGUGAUAAUGACUCCAGAAGACGUCUGUCAGAGGAAGAAGUCUAUGAAGUCUACAACCAGAUUUAACUUAGUGCUGGACCUUGUA